This 1037-nucleotide long non-coding RNA is filed under the name Gossypium raimondii (Peruvian cotton). RNAcentral describes it as "long non-coding RNA (GRAI_LNC008617)". Lineage: Eukaryota; Viridiplantae; Streptophyta; Magnoliopsida; Malvales; Malvaceae. The record is from RNAcentral.
UCUUGCAUAACUAAAUCAAGUAGAGUCGAGUUUUUGAAUAUUUGGGUUUUACUAAAGGGAUUUUUUUUUUUCUUUUUUGAAGUAUUUUUAUCGAAAUCUUUCUCCAUUUUCAUAUAAAUAACAUCAUCCUAGAAAAAUAAAUUUUUGUCGCAAUAAAAAAUUUGUCGCAUUAUUAAUUUUUUUUCAAAAGAUGGGUGUAAUAGCCCAUUUUUGCCCGGGGCCCAAAUUAAUCAAUCUAACCCAAUUACAUUUGGCCCAAUAAGGCCCAAAUCACUAAACCAAACCCCAAAUCCCAGUCUAACCCUAAACAGUGGUUAACAACAGCUACCCUAACGUCGUGCACGCCCCACAUCGCAGCAAUCAGCAGUCGCACCCCACACACGUCGCAGUAACCGCCCACGUUCAGCCCUCCGCGCGCACGUCGCACAUGUCUCCUCUAGUACGCACCUGCAAUAAGCCACGAACGAUAUCAGCAAGAGAGACAAGGCAAAAACUGGUAAAAGGAUUGGGGGCUAUAUAAAGGAAUUGAUUUAUGUAAUAGGGGUUAGCAAAUUUUGUAUUGAAAUUAAAGAAAAUAAAAAAGAAAAAAAAACAGAAAAGCAAGGAUUUUGAAGGUGAUUUUCUGGGUCUAUUUCUUUUCUUACUCACUGAUUUCUUUGUUUGUUUGUUUUUUUUCUUUUCCUUUGCACACCAAACAAAAAUAAAAGGAGGAGGAGAAAUCCUUACCAAAAGAGGCGCGCCGUCGACAUCUUUGCUUCUCUUCGUCCAAAUCGAAGUUGGAAGGGGGGAGUUUGGCUUGAAAACAGAGGAGAAGGUGGAGCAGUCCUUGUGGUGGCUGCUGUUGCAGAAAAGGGAAAUAAUUUUAGGGUUUUAAAAUGGGAUUUUAUAGGGUUCAAAAUGGGCCAUUUACGCAAUUGGUCCCCUUGUUUUUACAUUUUUUUAAAUCAUUUUUUAUUUCUUUUAAAUUUUGUAAUAUGUUUUAUUUCUGUUUCAAAUUGAUCCAAAUGAUGUGCAGCGUUUUGGGCAGUUUGGGUAAA